UACGUAUGGUGCAAGCGUUAUCCGGAUUUACUGGGCGUAAAGGGAGCGCAGGCGGCGCGCCAAGUCUGAUGUGAAACCCCGGGGCUCAACCCCGGGCAUGCAUUGGAAACUGGCGGGCUGGAGUGCCGGAGAGGUAAGCGGAAUUCCUAGUGUAGCGGUGAAAUGCGUAGAUAUUAGGAGGAACACCAGUGGCGAAGGCGGCUUACUGGACGGCAACUGACGCUGAGGCCCGAAAGCGUGGGGAGCAAACAGG
This 253-nucleotide ribosomal RNA is filed under the name uncultured bacterium. RNAcentral describes it as "partial 16S ribosomal RNA". It matches the Rfam family "Bacterial small subunit ribosomal RNA", at positions 524 to 776 of the family's 1533-position model. The record is from RNAcentral.